UUGCCCACCAGGCUCGUAGUCGGCCAACCGUAUUGUUUUAGGAUUGGGCACAGCCAGGCGGUAUUCUUCGCCCGGGCUGCCGUAAUCCGCUUGAUUACGGCAUCAGGUUUACGAUUCUCUCGGAUGUCCUCACUCAGUUGUUGCUGAUCUUUCUCCUUGAGCUUCAACAAAGUUUCUUUCAGUUUUUGGUUCUGAGGCUGAUUUGCGCUCAGUCGCGUCACCAUAUUUUUGACUUCGUCCACAUUCAAACACCGCUCCUGACCCAGGUUCGACUGAGAGCAGACUACGAUCAAAAUGCCGGUCAGAAGAACUCUCAAGAUG
This 321-nucleotide unclassified non-coding RNA is filed under the name uncultured bacterium. Its description in RNAcentral is "contains 16S-23S intergenic spacer region". The record is from RNAcentral.